RNAcentral lists this long non-coding RNA (219 nucleotides) under Carica papaya (papaya). RNAcentral's name for it is "long non-coding RNA (CPAP_LNC016665)". Lineage: Eukaryota; Viridiplantae; Streptophyta; Magnoliopsida; Brassicales; Caricaceae. The record is from RNAcentral.
UCUAUUUUUUGACUUUUUUCGGCUAACCAAAGUCCUUUAACGUAUUUUCUUGCAUGAAUGAGCACAAAACUGGUCGAAAUCAGCCGAAACUGGCCAAAAAUGGCCAACCUGAGGCAAAGUGCCAUCACCGGAGCAUGGCAGCACUGCCGUGUCGGAAUCUCGAAAUUGGCCGAAAAGGGUUUCUAACACCGAUUUUGAAUUUUUGGGGUAUUUCUAGGU